UUUUUUUAUUUUUCUCAUGGACCACAGUGACACUCAUUUCAGUAAGAUUUAAAGGCACAUUAUGUACGCCCAAACCCAAACACCAGUUAGUGUGAAAUACACAAUGUACACAAACGCACCUGUAAUGACUGUAAUUAAGUGCAUUUCUCACGGAGUCUCCUUCAGUGCUGAUGGCUACUGUAUAUGCUGACGGUGCAGGUGGAUGUUUAAAUGUAGGGCCUGUGCAGCUCUCAUGGCACCAGUGCGAUGCAGCCAUCGCGUCGGGCAGCUCCCAGUACGAGCGAGUGGAUUUCAGCUGCUAGAUUUCUAAGGAAAUCCAAUAUGGAAUUCGACAUAACUAUGGCAAGACAAUUUACUCUGCCUCAUUUAAAAAUGCACAAUAACAAACCCACUGACCUCAAAAAUGCAUCUGAUGCAAUCCAAUGAGCCCUAAAAGAAGACAUCUCUCAUCAAAGCUCCCUGGCCCACAGUGACAAGUAUAAUGCCUUAAUAUCAUUAAGAAUCCGGCAGGAAACUUCAAAGCAGGAUUAAGUCUGCAGUGAUAUGGACUGCAGCUAAAUGUGACAGCCAAAUGUGAUAGGCUGAGUUAAAAGUCAUUACAGGGAUGUUUUAUACCCUGUAGGUGAAAGGAGGGGUCGGCAUAUGGAAAUUCCCAUAGAUCAUCUCAUACCAACACACACAUUAAGGAGACAGGAGCCCCUGUUACCUCUUCUUCUUGGCAGUCGGAGUUGGCAUCGCCUCAUGACUACAUCCUUGUGUUUGUAUUCUUUGACGUAACGCUUUAGACGUUCAUGUGUCAGCAAAUUGUUUAAUUUCUAUAAGCAGAGCGUUCAAGUCCACCAAUCAAGUAACAGGGUCUUGGUUGACGGGACCCACCUUGAUGUCCCCCAUUGGUUUGUGGGCCCCCUGUUCUGAAACCUCAAGUUUUACAUCAAGCCAGAAGUGACCAUAUUUGGACAAUAGAGUCGAGCUGGGGAAGAUAUCCUGAUUGGAUCUGACUUAAAACCUGAGGACACAACGUGGUAGAGACUCAAUCCUGUUUGUACUCCCAGAGCUUCAAAUACAGUGGCCUGGUUAGUGGCCCCAUGUCUCUAAAGUUGACGCUGUAACUAGGUACCCUUUGAACAUCUACCCAGAGAAAAGUCAGAAUUUGGAGGUUUGUGUCCUGUGUGUGACGAAGAGUCAAGAUUGCUAGUUUCUUGUAGUUAUGCAAGAAAGUUACAUUCUUUUACUACAUAACAUGAUGGGACUUAGUUAUGUGACUGAACAUGGUUAUUUUAACCCAACAUAUGAUCUGCUCCUAAACCCAUCCAGGUAUGUUUUGCGCCUCAACCUAACCAAACCUUUUUUUUAAGCAACAUUAAUAAAUGUCCAGAAGUCUUACUGUGGAGCCUUCACUUGCACUUGCACAUCAGAGGGGCAGGUAAAGCGUCGUAGUCUGAAGCUAACCGCCGAUCCACUAACUGAGCAGCUGUAUGUGAUGAGUUGAGAUGGAGAACGUUUUGAAGAAGACACGAAACUAGCGACUGAGAAAAUAAACUUGUGAGGAAACUGUUUAAUGAGUUGACAGUCAUUAAAAGAACACAGUUAUAAGACCCCAAGAGCAGAACAGAACCCUAAAAAACAUCAGUUGUUUCUCAUGUGAAAGAGGCUCGUCUUCAGUCAUAUAGACAAAUAUGCUCUGGACUUUAAUAAACGGUAGAUUCUUACUGCAUGAUCAAUCUAUUGCGAGUCAGUAUCUGUUUCUACCCAGACUCGGAAGCUAAAUCCACUGCGGUCUUCAUCAUUACCUACUCUGCCUUUGGCCUGAAGAGGGCUUGCAGUUUAAUAAUUGGAAGAUUCAAGAUAUCCCCGUGCUUCCAACCUACAGCAGCAUGCAGUUCAAUAAAACACUCAACCGAGCCACAGGGAGCUCUACUUGAAGAUGAAUCCAGCAACCCAGUAACUGUAAACCCAGCUGGUUUCAAAUAAAAACACGGCCAAGCUGACACUUCGGAUCCAAGUUCUCAACUUGCCAAAUUCAAGCAGGAUCUCAAACACAUGCUACCCACUCUGACACACAAACGCCCCGAAUCCUUCCAGCCAACCAAGCAGCAAGUAUAUCGCACUCGCCAUCAUUGAGCCUCUGAUGCAAGAAGAGGUGGUCAUCGUCAUGAUGCAGAUUUCAAAAGAAAACUCUCUAUUAGCCGUCAAGAGUAUGAUUCAACACCAAACCAAACCAAACUGGCUUAAAUAGUAACAGAUAUAACUCUAGCUAGCUAUCGAGAUGGUGGUGGUGUGACAGCUAGUCAAGAUGGCAGCAUUUAAACAAUUGUAAGCAUGAAACCACUGGAUAUUUUUAACAAGACAUUGGGACGACUUCCAGCUCUGUUAGUGGCAGCAAAACUGGAUAGUUUGAAGCAUCAGAAUCGCCAAAACAUGAUUCCUAAUCUCAACCAAGUGGUUUCUGUGCAUUAACCUUAACCUGACCAUAAGAUCACAACCAAGGAUGAUGGUAAGUUGAUCUUUGUGAGCGUCCAUUAACAGAAUCAUCACGAAUAUCUAAUAUAGGGAAAGACACAUCUUUUCAAUCAUUAGCCUGUCACCAUGCCAUCAAUUAUGUCUGGAUUAAAAAAAAAAGAACGACAGGAA
This is a long non-coding RNA of Acanthopagrus latus (yellowfin seabream), 2631 nucleotides long. RefSeq lists it as uncharacterized. The transcript is spliced from 4 exons. The record is from RefSeq and is a predicted model, not a curated record. Lineage: Eukaryota; Metazoa; Chordata; Actinopteri; Spariformes; Sparidae.